RNAcentral lists this ribosomal RNA (880 nucleotides) under Hypotrachyna endochlora. RNAcentral's name for it is "eukaryotic LSU rRNA". It matches the Rfam family "Eukaryotic large subunit ribosomal RNA", at positions 71 to 965 of the family's 3401-position model. The record is from RNAcentral. Lineage: Eukaryota; Fungi; Ascomycota; Lecanoromycetes; Lecanorales; Parmeliaceae.
GGGAUUGCCCUAGUAACGGCGAGUGAAGCGGCAACAGCUCAAAUUUGAAAUCUGGCCCCUCCGGGGUCCGAGUUGUAAUUUGUAGAGAGUGUUUCGGGGGAGACCACGGUCUAAGUCUAUUGGAACAUUACGUCAUAGAGGGUGAGAACCCCGUAUGCGACCGUGGCUCGAGCCCAUGUGAAGCCUCUUCGACGAGUCGAGUUGUUUGGGAAUGCAGCUCAUAAUGGGUGGUAAAUUUCAUCUAAAGCUAAAUAUUGGCUGGAGACCGAUAGCGCACAAGUAGAGUGAUCGAAAGAUGAAAAGCACUUUGGAAAGAGAGUCAAACAGUACGUGAAAUUGUUGAAAGGGAAGCGCUGGCAACCAGACCUGUCCGUAGGCGAUCAGCUGCUGUUCUCAGCGGUGCACUCGUUCUGCGAUCAGGCCAGCAUCGGUUUCGGCGGUCGGAUAAAGACCCGGGGAACGUAGCUCCCUCUCGGGGGAGUGUUAUAGCCCCGGGCGCAAUGCGGCCAGCCGGGACCGAGGACCGCGCAUUUAUGCUAGGAUGCUGGCGUAAUGGUUGUCAGCGACCCGUCUUGAAACACGGACCAAGGAGUCUAACAUUUAUGCGAGUGUUUGGGUGUCAAACCCAUGCGCGGAAUGAAAGUGAACGGAGGUGAGAACCCUUUAGGGCGCAUCAUCGACCGAUCCAGAAGUUUACGGAUGGAUUUGAGUAUGAGCAUAACUGUUGGUACCCGAAAGAUGGUGAACUAUGCCUGAAUAGGGUGAAGCCAGAGGAAACUCUGGUGGAGGCUCGCAGCGGUUCUGACGUGCAAAUCGAUCGUCAAAUUUGGGUAUAGGGGCGAAAGACUAAUCGAACCAUCUGUAGCUGGUUCCUGCCGAA